Molecule: long non-coding RNA, 331 nt
Filed under: Vulpes vulpes (red fox)
Lineage: Eukaryota; Metazoa; Chordata; Mammalia; Carnivora; Canidae
Description: lncRNA (ENSVVUG00000013052.1)
Source: RNAcentral
GAAGAAUAGCACCACUGAAGGAGCCCAACUGUGAUUCCGUUUUCAUGCAAAGAGUCAAAGUCAAAGUUAAAAAAAAAGGAACAAAAUCCCUUAACAUGAAGGUCUUGUAUCUCUCACCAGACUCCAACCAGCAGGACUGGAUAAUGAGAACUUCACACCAUGUUGUGAUAUGCAUUUGCUGGCCACUCAGUCUGAACAAUGUAUACGGACAAGCGUCACUGAACAGAAAGAAGGAAAGCAUCCCUUGGAGGAAUCAGAUUACUCUUCUACCCUGUGCCUGUGCACCAGACCUGUAAAGCCCUCUGGACACCGGGCUGCUUAUGGUGUAUGU